GAGGACAGCCAUAGUAAUCAGGAAACACCUGUUCCCGUUCCGAACACAGAAGUUAAGCUGGUUACGUUGCGUGUAUUAGUUUCCUAGCGGAAGUGAAGCACUGAUGCUGUCUCUU
Molecule: ribosomal RNA, 115 nt
Filed under: Candidatus Pacearchaeota archaeon
Lineage: Archaea; Nanobdellati
Source: RNAcentral